RNAcentral lists this ribosomal RNA (510 nucleotides) under Monobia quadridens. RNAcentral describes it as "partial 16S ribosomal RNA". The stretch from base 384 to 510 matches the Rfam family "Bacterial large subunit ribosomal RNA", at positions 2473 to 2600 of the family's 2925-position model. The record is from RNAcentral. Lineage: Eukaryota; Metazoa; Arthropoda; Insecta; Hymenoptera; Vespidae.
GGUUUGUAGAUUUUAAUUAUAAAUCGGUUUCUGCCCAAUGAAAAAUUUAAAUGGCUGCGGUAUAUUGACCGUACAAAGGUAGCAAAAUCAAUAGUUUUUUAAUUGAAAGCUGGAAUGAAAGAGCUGAUGAAAUAAAGAUUGUUUCAGUAUUAAAAAUUGAAUUUAAAUUUUGAGUUAAAAUGCUUAAAUGAGUUUAUUAGACGAGAAGACCCUAUAGAAUUUUAUAAAAUUUAAUUUAAGAAAUUUAAAUGUAAUGUAUUUUUUUUAAAUUAAUUAUAUUUAGUUGGGAGGAUUAUAAAAUUAAAUUAACUUUUAUUAUUUUAAAAACAUAGAUAAAUGAAUUUUUGAUUAUUAUUAUAAUUAAAAGAAAAAAUUACCUUAGGGAUAACAGCGUAAUAUUUUUGGAGAGAUCAAAUUGAUAAAGAUGUUUGCGACCUCGAUGUUGAAUUAUGAUAUAAUUUAAGUGCAGUAGUUUAAAUUGUUAGUCUGUUCGACUAUUAAAAUCAUACA